Molecule: ribosomal RNA, 674 nt
Filed under: Stenotrophomonas sp. HPC1345
Lineage: Bacteria; Pseudomonadati; Pseudomonadota; Gammaproteobacteria; Lysobacterales; Lysobacteraceae
Description: bacterial SSU rRNA
Rfam family: Bacterial small subunit ribosomal RNA
Source: RNAcentral
AAGAACGCUGGCGGUAGGCCUAGACAUGCAAUUGGAACGGCAGCACAGUAAGAGCUUGCUCUUACGGGUGGCGAGUGGCGGACGGGUGAGGAAUGCAUCGGAAUCUACUCUGUCGUGGGGGAUAACGUAGGGAAACUUACGCUAAUACCGCAUACGACCUACGGGUGAAAGCAGGGGAUCUUCGGACCUUGCGCGAUUGAAUGAGCCGAUGCCCGAUUAGCUAGUUGGCGGGGUAAGAGCCCACCAAGGCGACGAUCGGUAGCUGGUCUGAGAGGAUGAUCAGCCACACUGGAACUGAGACACGGUCCAGACUCCUACGGGAGGCAGCAGUGGGGAAUAUUGGACAAUGGGCGCAAGCCUGAUCCAGCCAUACCGCGUGGGUGAAGAAGGCCUUCGGGUUGUAAAGCCCUUUUGUUGGGAAAGAAAAGCAGCCGGUUAAUACCCGGUUGUUCUGACGGUACCCAAAGAAUAAGCACCGGCUAACUUCGUGCCAGCAGCCGCGGUAAUACGAAGGGUGCAAGCGUUACUCGGAAUUACUGGGCGUAAAGCGUGCGUAGGUGGUUGUUUAAGUCUGUCGUGAAAGCCCUGGGCUCACCUGGGAAUGGCGAUGGAAACUGGGCGACUAGAGUGUGGCAGAGGGUAGUGGAAUUCCUGGUGUAGCAGUGAAAUGCGUA